GAUGAACGCUAGCGGGAGGCUUAAUACAUGCAAGUCGAACGGUAACAUUGGGGCUUGCCCCAGAUGACGAGUGGCGCACGGGUGAGUAACGCGUACGCAAUCUACCCCUGACAGUGGGAUAGUCACGGGAAACUGUGAAUAAUACCGCAUAGUUCCUAAUGGUCGCAUGGCCAUGUGGAUAAAGUUGCGGCGGUCAGGGAUGAGCGUGCGUCCGAUUAGCUAGUUGGUGAGGUAACGGCUUACCAAGGCGACGAUCGGUAGGGGGCGUGAGAGCGUGACCCCCCACACGGGUACUGAGACACGGACCCGACUCCUACGGGAGGCAGCAGUAAGGAAUAUUGGACAAUGGGCGAAAGCCUGAUCCAGCCAUCCCGCGUGCAGGAUGACGGCCCUCUGGGUUGUAAACUGCUUUUAUAGAGGAAGAAACGCCAGUAUUUAUACUGGCCUGACGGUACUCUACGAAUAAGCACCGGCUAACUCCG
Molecule: ribosomal RNA, 482 nt
Filed under: uncultured Saprospiraceae bacterium
Lineage: Bacteria; Pseudomonadati; Bacteroidota; Saprospiria; Saprospirales; Saprospiraceae
Description: bacterial SSU rRNA
Rfam family: Bacterial small subunit ribosomal RNA
Source: RNAcentral